Molecule: ribosomal RNA, 253 nt
Filed under: uncultured bacterium
Lineage: Bacteria
Description: partial 16S ribosomal RNA
Rfam family: Bacterial small subunit ribosomal RNA
Source: RNAcentral
UACGUAGGGUGCGAGCGUUAAUCGGAAUUACUGGGCGUAAAGCGUGCGCAGGCGGUUUUGUAAGCCAGAUGUGAAAGCCCCGGGCUUAACCUGGGAAUGGCAUUUGGGACUGCAAGGCUUGAGUGCGGCAGAGGAGACUGGAAUUCCCGGUGUAGCAGUGAAAUGCGUAGAUAUCGAGAGGAACACCUGCGGCGAAGGCGGGUUGCUGGGCUGACACUGACGCUGAGGCGCGAAAGCCAGGGGAGCGAACGGG